GAGUACGUAGCUCAGUGGUAGAGCGCAUGCUUAGCUUGCACAAGGUCCUGGGUUCCAUUCCCAGCAUCUCCA
RNAcentral lists this transfer RNA (72 nucleotides) under Camelus bactrianus (Bactrian camel). It matches the Rfam family "tRNA". From Rfam's summary of the family: Transfer RNA (tRNA) molecules are approximately 80 nucleotides in length. RNAcentral also lists the same sequence under 1 other name. Lineage: Eukaryota; Metazoa; Chordata; Mammalia; Artiodactyla; Camelidae. The record is from Rfam by way of RNAcentral.